ACAGGAUUAGAUACCCUGGUAGUCCACGCCGUAAACGAUGUCGACUUGGAGGCUGUUCCCCUGAGGAGUGGCUUCCGGAGCUAACGCGUUAAGUCGACCGCCUGGGGAGUACGGCCGCAAGGUUAAAACUCAAAUGAAUUGACGGGGGCCCGCACAAGCGGUGGAGCAUGUGGUUUAAUUCGAUGCAACGCGAAGAACCUUACCUACUCUUGACAUCCACGGAAUUCGGCAGAGAUGCCUUAGUGCCUUCGGGAACCGUGAGACAGGUGCUGCAUGGCUGUCGUCAGCUCGUGUUGUGAAAUGUUGGGUUAAGUCCCGCAACGAGCGCAACCCUUAUCCUUUGUUGCCAGCGAUUCGGUCGGGAACUCAAAGGAGACUGCCGGUGAUAAACCGGAGGAAGGUGGGGAUGACGUCAAGUCAUCAUGGCCCUUACGAGUAGGGCUACACACGUGCUACAAUGGCGCAUACAAAGAGAAGCGACCUCGCGAGAGCAAGCGGACCUCAUAAAGUGCGUCGUAGUCCGGAUCGGAGUCUGCAACUCGACUCCGUGAAGUCGGAAUCGCUAGUAAUCGUGGAUCAGAAUGCCACGGUGAAUACGUUCCCGGGCCUUGUACACACCGCCCGUCACACCAUGGGAGUGGGUUGCAAAAGAAGUAGGUAGCUUAACCUUCGGGAGGGCGCUUACCACUUUGUGAUUCAUGACUGGGGUGAAGUCGUAACAAGGUAGC
This 728-nucleotide ribosomal RNA is filed under the name uncultured bacterium. RNAcentral's name for it is "bacterial SSU rRNA". It matches the Rfam family "Bacterial small subunit ribosomal RNA", at positions 772 to 1500 of the family's 1533-position model. The record is from RNAcentral.